Molecule: RNA transcript, 3330 nt
Organism: Perognathus longimembris pacificus (Pacific pocket mouse)
Lineage: Eukaryota; Metazoa; Chordata; Mammalia; Rodentia; Heteromyidae
Gene: Dusp10
Gene name: dual specificity phosphatase 10
Exons: 5
Source: RefSeq, a predicted model, not a curated record
GGGGGGGGGGUGGGGGUGGUCCCAGCCUGUGUCUCUGGGAGCACGUUUCUAACAGUCGCCCCACCAAGGAAAUGCACUGCUGAUCCCGGACAUACCCAGCCAGGUAACAAUACUAGCAAAAUCUUUUACUGCCUGGUCCGGGCUGGGGAGUAGUUAUAGCUUGUGGAAUAGUACUCGCUCUUAAAAAAAAAAAUACUACGCAAGGGAGAGAGAGGGAGGGAGAGAAGCAAGAGGUUGGAUCCUUCGCUUGCAUCCAAACGUGGGUGAGAGAAACCCGAGUCGACCUGAUGGGUAGGUGCCCCUGUGUGUGCGUGUGUUGCUUCUGCCUGUGAUACCUUGGCUCUGUGUCAGAGAAUGGUGACGGCCCCCCCCUCCAUGUGGACAGAUGGUACAUGACAGUAUCCACCCCCCACCCCUAAAGUUCCUUUAGGUCAGAAAGGCUCUUGCCUGGCUUUGCUUACAUAGCAUGUCUAGUAGAGAGAAGCUAGCUAGGGCCAUGUUGUAAAAUGGCCCAUACUUAGGAUGGAGAAGGAAUUAUGCUUUUGCAGUCACCCUAACCUGCCCCUGUUGAAGGGGGCAGUGGAGUCCUCUUUAUGGGAGCCAUACUCUCUCCGAGGGGGGGUGGGUCUCUCAGUAUGUGAUGUACAUCUAUGCAGCCCAAGGAUGUAAAUUCUGUGCUUUGCAUCAGAUAAAGAGAGGAGAGUCCAAGUGGUCUUGUCCUUAGAGGCAGGAAUGGAAGUGGGUCUCUUAGGGAUGGACUGACAGGGUUGGGAUUGCCAGGCCUGGUUCCUUGGCUUGAGGACUACCUUGUGAGACAGUGAAAAGAGGAAAUGCAGCUUAACUUGGAAGAAGCUAGCAGAAACUAUGAAAGGUUUUAACUCUUGAGUUCUUCUUGAAUUGCCAGUUUUCAGCCUCCUCAUGCCUCCAUCUCCUUUAGACGACAGGGUAGUAGUGGCAUUGUCUAGGCCUGUCCGACCUCAGGAUCUCAACCUCUGUUUAGACUCUAGCUACCUUGACUCUGCCACCCCAGGCAGUAGGAAGCACCCUCCUGUCAUUGCCACCACUGUUGUGACCCUCAAGGCUGCGAAUCUGACGUAUAUGCCCUCAUCCAGCGGCUCUGCCCGCUCUCUGAAUUGUGGAUGCAGCAGUGCCAGCUGCUGCACUGUGGCAACCUACGACAAGGACAAUCAGGCCCAGACCCAAGCCAUUGCUGCUGGCACUGCCACCACCACCAUCGGAACCUCUACCACCUGUCCUGCUAACCAGAUGGUCAACAACAAUGAGAAUACAGGCUCUUUAAGUCCAUCAGGUGGGGUGGGCAGUCCUGUGUCAGGAACCCCCAAGCAGCUAGCCAGCAUCAAAAUCAUAUACCCCAAUGACUUGGCGAAGAAGAUGACCAAAUGCAGUAAGAGUCACGUGCCCAGCCAGGGCCCCGUCAUCAUUGACUGCCGGCCCUUCAUGGAGUACAACAAGAGUCACAUCCAAGGAGCUGUCCACAUUAACUGUGCCGAUAAGAUUAGCCGGCGGAGACUACAGCAGGGCAAGAUCACUGUCCUAGACUUGAUUUCCUGUAGGGAAGGCAAAGACUCCUUCAAGAGGAUCUUUUCCAAAGAAAUUAUAGUUUAUGAUGAGAAUACCAAUGAGCCAAGCCGAGUGAUGCCCUCUCAGCCUCUUCACAUAGUCCUCGAGUCACUGAAGAGAGAAGGCAAAGAACCUCUGGUAUUAAAAGGUGGACUCAGUAGUUUUAAGCAGAACCAUGAAAACCUCUGUGACAACUCCCUCCAGCUGCAAGAGUGCCGCGAGGUGGGAGGCGGAGCAUCUGCCAUCUCGAGCAUGCUACCUCAGUCUGUCCCCACCACCCCUGACAUCGAGAAUGCGGAGCUGACUCCCAUCCUGCCCUUCCUGUUCCUGGGCAACGAGCAGGAUGCUCAGGACCUGGACACCAUGCAACGGUUGAACAUUGGCUACAUCAUCAACGUCACCACGCACCUUCCCCUGUACCACUAUGAGAAAGGCCUGUUCAACUACAAGAGGCUGCCGGCCACAGACAGCAACAAGCAGAACCUGCGGCAGUACUUCGAAGAGGCUUUUGAGUUCAUUGAGGAGGCUCACCAGUGUGGGAAGGGACUUCUCAUCCACUGCCAGGCUGGCGUGUCUCGCUCUGCCACCAUUGUCAUCGCCUAUUUGAUGAAACACACUCGAAUGACCAUGACUGAUGCUUACAAAUUUGUCAAGGGCAAACGACCAAUUAUUUCCCCCAAUCUUAACUUUAUGGGGCAGUUGCUGGAGUUCGAGGAGGACCUAAACAAUGGUGUAACACCGAGGAUCCUUACACCAAAGCUGAUGGGGAUGGAGACUGUCGUGUGACCAUGAUUCGUGUGGAAAGGAUUGCUUCUAGGAGACGAACUGAAGGGAAGAUUGAGUCUGCUUUUUUUUUUCUUGUUCUAUUUUCCUUUUUUUUUAGUUGGGGGAUAAAGUUUGUGAAUAGUAACAAACUUGUUUAAAGGCUUUUUAUUUUUAACAAGUGUGAGAAGACUAUAUACCUUUUGAUGCCAUUGAGAUUCACUCCCUGUAAACUGAUAAAAAGCAGGGAGACUGAAGAGCUCACUUUUCUAAGCCAACAAUAAAAAUGUAAUCAAACUUGUUUCUCCCCAUUUUCCUUCUAAGCUAUUUGUAGAGUUUAUGACUAUAUAGUCUGUGCAGGUUCAUAGACGGACGAUAUCAUCCUUUAAACAAGUAGAAAGAACCAAAAGUAAUAGAAGGCCUGGGACAUGCCUGGACCAUCCAUACAGAGAACAAAAUCUCCUAGACCAAGCCCUGUUGUGCUCAUGGAUGCAAGCAGAAGAUCAGGGCGGUGUAAGUGGUCUAAGUAUACAUUUCUCAGAAGACAGAGGCUACUCUUGAUUUGAUGUGUUUUCUGGAUUUUCUUUUCCCUCUAUGUUUAAGAGGUGUUGGUUUUUGUUUUUGUUUUUUGGUAAUAGCAAGGAAUUGACCAUUAUAUAUCAUAUGCCUUCAUUGGCUCUUUGUGCAAUAAUAUGGUGUUUGGAGUGUGCAGAUAAGUUAGAGCUGGCAACUCAGUGAUAGAAAAAGAGUUCAAGUUUGCCAGCUUGGAGAGAGAGAGGAAUUCAAUAAUAUCAAUUACUUUCCUUCCCACCUUUUUCCUUUUUUGAUUUGAUUCUAGUUACAGUGCCAUAAACCUUGUUACAUAUGUAUAUCAGAAUGUAAAAAAAAAGACAAAAAUUUAUUUAAAAAUAUUUUUCGCAAAGAAAAAAAAACAAACCUUGAUGUGUUUCUGUUGAUUGUGUAAAAAUUUAUUUUCAUUAUAUAAAC